CAGCGGGUGCAAUUCCCGCUCGGCAACGGUCGCUCCGGCCGGUAGCAAUCGGAGCGGUGGAGGAGGCAACGAAUCGGCUGAAGCACUUCGAUGUGAGGACUGCCUUGGGCAGUUCGGCGAGCGGGCAGGCCGGAACUGGG
This is a non-coding RNA of Planctomycetes bacterium RBG_16_64_12, 140 nucleotides long. NCBI's taxonomy places the organism in Bacteria, Pseudomonadati, Planctomycetota. The record is from Rfam.